Molecule: ribosomal RNA, 253 nt
Filed under: uncultured bacterium
Lineage: Bacteria
Description: partial 16S ribosomal RNA
Rfam family: Bacterial small subunit ribosomal RNA
Source: RNAcentral
UACGGAGGGUGCAAACGUUGCUCGGAAUCAUUGGGCGUAAAGGGCUCGUAGGCGGUCUGUUGCGUCAGGAGUGAAAACUCGGGGCUUAACCCCGAGCCUGCUUCUGAUACGGGCAGACUAGAGGUAUGCAGGGGAGAACGGAAUUCCUGGUGUAGCGGUGAAAUGCGCAGAUAUCAGGAGGAACACCGGUGGCGAAGGCGGUUCUCUGGGCAUUACCUGACGCUGAGGAGCGAAAGUGUGGGGAGCGAACAGG